RNAcentral lists this ribosomal RNA (435 nucleotides) under Sus scrofa (pig). RNAcentral describes it as "partial 12S ribosomal RNA". It matches the Rfam family "Bacterial small subunit ribosomal RNA", at positions 768 to 1404 of the family's 1533-position model. The record is from RNAcentral. Lineage: Eukaryota; Metazoa; Chordata; Mammalia; Artiodactyla; Suidae.
CAAACUGGGAUUAGAUACCCCACUAUGCCUAGCCCUAAACCCAAAUAGUUACAUAACAAAACUAUUCGCCAGAGUACUACUCGCAACUGCCUAAAACUCAAAGGACUUGGCGGUGCUUCACAUCCACCUAGAGGAGCCUGUUCUAUAAUCGAUAAACCCCGAUAAACCUUACCAACCCUUGCCAAUUCAGCUAUAUCCGCCAUAUUCAGCAAACCUAAAAAGGAACAAUAGUAAGCACAAUCAUAACACAUAAAAACGUUAGGUCAAGGUGUAGCUUAUGGGUUGGAAAGAAAUGGGUACAUUUUUACAUAAGAAUACCCACCAUACGAAAGUUUUUAUGAAACUAAAAACCAAAGGAGGAUUUAGCAGUAAAUCAAGAAUAGAGUGCUUGAUUGAAUGGGGCCAUGAAGCACGCACACACCGCCCGUCACCCUC